GUCGGAAUCUGAAUUGUCCGACCACCAGGCACGGGAGGAUUCCCGCCCUAAAAAACGCCAUGACAAAGGCGAAGAUUGCACACCCAAACCAACUAAGGGUAAGGCACCUGCCAAGCACAAGUCUGCCAAAUUACACACCCCGGCCCCGCGUCAGGAGUACUCUUCUGACGAAGAGCAAGAAGCCCAGUCCAUGUCAGUGCUGGAUGAAUGGCAAGCUGACGCCUCUGACUCGGACUACGACGCAUGGGGUUCGGACGAGAAAUCUGUCUCCGCUUUCAUGC
Molecule: non-coding RNA, 281 nt
Organism: Pelobates cultripes (western spadefoot toad)
Lineage: Eukaryota; Metazoa; Chordata; Amphibia; Anura; Pelobatidae
Source: the annotation of a GenBank genome assembly